Molecule: ribosomal RNA, 410 nt
Filed under: uncultured bacterium
Lineage: Bacteria
Description: bacterial SSU rRNA
Rfam family: Bacterial small subunit ribosomal RNA
Source: RNAcentral
GAGCAACGCAGCGUGAGGCGAAGCAGGUGUUGGGAUGGUAAAGCUAUGGUGUCAGGGAAGAACAAGUACCGUUCGAACAGGGCGGUACCUUGACGGUACCUGACGAGGAAGCCACGGCUAACUACGUGCCAGCAGCCGCGGUAAUACGUAGGUGGCAAGCGUUGUCCGGAAUUAUUGGGCGUAAAGCGCGCGCAGGCGGUUCCUUAAGUCUGAUGUGAAAUCUCGCGGCUCAACCGCGAGCGGCCAUUGGAAACUGGGGAACUUGAGUGCAGGAGAGGGGAGCGGAAUUCCACGUGUAGCGGUGAAAUGCGUAGAGAUGUGGAGGAACACCAGUGGCGAAGGCGGCUCUCUGGCCUGUAACUGACGCUGAGGCGCGAAAGCGUGGGGAGCGAACAGGAUUAGAUCCCCUG